This 248-nucleotide long non-coding RNA is filed under the name Homo sapiens (human). Its description in RNAcentral is "LHRI_LNC425.1". The record is from RNAcentral. Lineage: Eukaryota; Metazoa; Chordata; Mammalia; Primates; Hominidae.
CGGCAUCAGAGGUCCAGCAUCACGCGGCAUAUUGUGGCUGAGCCAGGCCUGAGCUAGGGUUUCCUGACUCCAACUGGGGACCUGCUCCCAGCUCUUGGGGCUGCUCUGCUCCCAGCAUUGACCAGCUGUUGUUCUGUUUAGAUUCUAAACCUUCAGAGCCCACAGACAGGAUCUCCUUUAGGGGGAUUCACUUCUCCAUAGCAGUGAGCAUGGUCUUUGGGUGCAGCUAAUUCAGAGGACACUUGAGC